RNAcentral lists this microRNA precursor (58 nucleotides) under Capitella teleta. RNAcentral's name for it is "Cte-Mir-193-P1_pre stem-loop". The record is from RNAcentral. Lineage: Eukaryota; Metazoa; Annelida; Polychaeta; Capitellidae.
CGAGGUCUUGACGAUCCAGUCGGGGGUUUGAGUCCUAACUGGCCCGUCAAGUCCCUCC